AGCUCUUUCUGUGGCAGAGGGUGGAGGAGAAAAGGAGACCUGGGGCAGCUCAACCCACUGUGAGGACCAGACGCUGAUGACCAUGGCCUGGACUCCAGUCCUCCUCUUGCUCCUCUGUCUUGGCACAGGCUCCCUGUCCCAGCUUGUAGUGACUCAGCCACCCUCUGUGUCUGCAAACCUGGGAACAUCAGCCAGACUCACGUGCACUCUGAGCAGCGGCUUCAGUGUUGGCAGCUAUUCUAUAACUUGGUUCCAGCAGAAGCCAGGCAGCUCUCCCCAGUAUCUCCUGUGGUUCUACUCAGACUCAAGCAAGCACCAGGGCUCCGGGGUCCCCAGCCGCUUCUCCGGGUCCAAAGAUGCCUCGGCCAAUGCAGGAAUUCUGCUCAUCUCUGGGCUGCAGGCUGAGGACGAGGCUGACUACUACUGUGCUACAGCUCAUGGCAGUGGGAGCAACUAUCGUUACUCACAAUGUCUCAGACAAUGA
Suricata suricatta (meerkat) is the source of this 484-nucleotide non-coding RNA. NCBI's taxonomy places the organism in Eukaryota, Metazoa, Chordata, Mammalia, Carnivora, Herpestidae. The record is from the annotation of a RefSeq genome assembly.